AUUCCAGCUCCAAUAGCGUAUAUUAAAGUUGUUGCGGUUAAAAAGCUCGUAGUUGGAUUUCUGUUGAGGUUGGGCGGUCCGCACUACGUGCGAGUAUCUGCUUCGGCCUUGGCAUCCUCUCGGAAAACGCUACUGUGCUUGAUGCAUGGUGCGGGGUUCGGGACUUUUACUUUGAGGAAAUUAGAGUGUUCACGGCAGGCAAUCGCCCUGAAUAUAUUAGCAUGGAAUAAUAAUAUAGGAUCUGAUGCCUAUUUUGUUGGUUUCUAGGCGUGAGAUAAUGAUUAAUAGGGACAAUUGGGGGGAUUCGUAUUAUGGCGUCAGAGGUGGAAUUCUUGGAUUGCCAUACGACGAACUACUGCGAAAGCAUUUCUCAGGGAUGUUUUCAUUA
RNAcentral lists this ribosomal RNA (388 nucleotides) under Syndiniales sp. RNAcentral's name for it is "partial small subunit ribosomal RNA". It matches the Rfam family "Eukaryotic small subunit ribosomal RNA", at positions 582 to 975 of the family's 1831-position model. The record is from RNAcentral. Lineage: Eukaryota; Dinophyceae; Syndiniales.